This is a non-coding RNA of Ciona intestinalis (vase tunicate), 4399 nucleotides long. NCBI's taxonomy places the organism in Eukaryota, Metazoa, Chordata, Ascidiacea, Phlebobranchia, Cionidae. The record is from RefSeq and is a predicted model, not a curated record.
UUAACUUACUCUUCUUUUCAGCGUGUAUAUUGUGUAAGUAUAUAACAUGAAACUGAAAACAUGGAGUAUUCGCGUACAAUAUUUUCUCGUUACAUUUCUCUCUUUAUCGCUACACAUGCAAUGGAUCUGCACGACUUGCUUUGCUGUAUCACUUGGUGCACAGGCGAGCAAUAACGAGUUGGCUCAGAGCUUUGGUGCCGCCCUCAACGUCAAGGCAACUUUAUACAGCGGGUACGCCGCCAUGCAGAGCACAUACGAAAACAGGCUGAACGCUGGAGUGUUUACUGUACAUCGACUUAAUGGAACUAAGUUGAUUAAAACCAUGGCUGCAGACCUUGAGAAAAUGCUAAACAGAAAACGACUUGCUGUAGAAAGACUCGUACAAGUCGCUGAACGACAUGCCGCGAAAUACGACUGGGAUAAAGAACCAUCAGAUGAAUACAACAACAUUCAAUACAUCAAUGCACCUGAACCGUCCAACAUAGAAGAAGAUGAUUAUGCCAGUUUAAGGAAACAAAUGCAAUUCAAGAGCGACGCUAGGUUCGAACGUGAUGUCAACAAGAAUACUUCAAUAGUUCAAGUUCCAUUUAACGUCUAUAGUAAAGGCACCAAGCUGUUGAAAUCAGUCGGUUGGUCAAAGGCGUUAAACCAGCAAUUCAAACGAAACUUGGAACUUGAACCUUCGUUAAAAUGGCAAUACUUCGGUUCAACUGAAGGAUAUAUUCGUGUUUACCCUGGGUUCCAAUGGCGGAUGAGAGCUGGGCCUCAUGACCAACUUAACAUAUAUGACUGUAGAACGAGGUUAUGGUACACGCAGUCGUCUACCUACCCCAAAGAUAUGAUCAUCCUCUUAGAUAGGAGUGGAAGCAUGAAAGGUUUAAAGAAAUCGAUCGCCAUCGAUGCUGUGUCUGCUUUACUGGAUACACUUGGUGACAACGACUUUUUCAACGUUUUAACGUUUAGCAAGAAGGUAAUCCCUGUGGAUCCAUGUUACAACUCUACAUUAAUGCGAGCCGACCGUACAAAUAAAGAGAACGUUCUCACGCGUCUACGGGACAUGGAGACCUCUGAUAUUGCCAACUUUAAACUCGCACUGAAGAGCACACUUGAUAUCAUUGCCGAAUUUCACAACAGAGGAGACGGCAGCGGUUGUGACUGCGAGAUAAUGUUGAUCACCGAUGGAGCGCCAGACAGCUACCAAUAUAUAUUUGACCAGGCCCACAACUUAUCUAUUUCCCAGAGCCAUUUCCGAGUCUUCGCUUAUCUGGUCGGACAGGACAAGAAUUAUCUCGAACCAGUUAAAGAUAUGGCGUGUAAUAAUAACGGCUUCUUCACUCAAGUAAAAAGCCCGACUGGUGUCACAGAACAAGUCUUGCAUCACGUUAACGUCAUGAAUCGACCUCUCGCGUAUCAGGGCGACCACCACGUGACGUGGACAAAGGCGUAUUAUGACACAACAAAUGGGGACGAGGGUUUCGGUUUGAUAAGCACUGUUGCUUCCACAGUCUACAAGAUGGUGCCCGGGGAACCGACUGCGUUCCUGGGUAUAAUGGCAACUGACGUGCCCAUAAGUGACAUGAUGAAUAGCAUGCCCAUAAACAGGAUUGGCGUGAACGCUUACGUAUACAUGGUCACCAACAAUGCCUACGUUAUGUUUCACCCAUGGUUGGAAACAAAGUACGUUGGUUGGGAUGGGAAGGUUAAAACUAAGCUUGAUUACAACAGCAUAGACAUUGACAAGUUGGAAAAGGAUGACGGACACGCUGAAAUUAGGUCAGCUUUGGUAAAUAGAAGAACUGGACAAGUUUCAACCAAGCAACAUUACACACCUCUGGAUAACGACAUGAAGUCACUCCUAAUAUCAAGUGGUGUGUAUUACUUUGUGCCUGUGGCUGACACUCCAUUCAGUUUAGCCAUGUUUCUACCAUCUAAGUAUGGCCACACCAAAGUCAACUACUCAGCUAACCUACGAUCUAUAAGAUAUGAUGCUAUCAUUGAUGAGGUGCAUUGUAAUGAGGUGCAGAAACAAAUGCGAAGAAAUGACUGGGUUGAGAUUGAUCGUAUCGCUGCUAUAUGUUCAUUAAGGUAUAGCGACGUUAGUGUUGCUGAAACUUGGAGAUAUUGCUGGUUUAAGAACAAACAAAGCAUUGAAGAAAUGGGAUGGUUGUCGCAAAUAGACAUGCUGAAGCGAUAUCUCCUCUCUCCGAAUAGCCAGACCAUAAAAUGUAACCAGGAGUUGGUGAAUGGAGUAUUGUUUGAUGUUUAUCUUACAGCGACACUUCAGUCUGUUUGGUCAGAACAAAAAAUGCAUCAAAAUACUUCAGGCAAAGGCAUUGAGAUGACCUUCUUUAUCUCCCGAAGUGGUGUAGUGAGAAAGUAUUGGCACACAGAUGCACAAGAUGCUUAUAAGGAAGAUAGGAAUGUUGUAUUUAGAUUUGAUAAAUUGGAAUACCCGUUAAUAUACAGACGAGCUGUAACUCAACCUAAAGAUAGUUGGUUGUAUGUUGUACCCCCUACCACACGUGGUAACAAUAAACAAGUUGUGUUUGCUGCAAAAGCUGUGAGACAAAAAGAAGCAAUUAUGGGAGUGUCGGGUUUGAUGCUCGGAUACGAAAGUUUUGCUUCUUUGUUCUGGGAUGAAGUGGCGCAAGUGUAUGGGGUGGACUGUAUGGAUAGGACGAACAAAAGGUUUUGUUACCUCGUGGAUGACAAUGCAAAGAUUGUUCUUUCCAAGGAGAAUCAAGAAGUUGGUCGUUUCUUUGGCGAAAUAAACGGGCACGUAAUGAACCAAUUAAUCGAGGCGAAAGUUUUCGACCGUAUCGUGUUAACCGAUGAGACAGCAAUGUGUCAAGUUAAACAGACAAAGAAAAAUGUGGGCUCGGCCGCUUCUAAUGUUCGGUAUAACUUGCCAUUCUUCUCAGUAUGGUCUUACUUUAUGUGGUGGACGAAGGAACUGGUUGUUCUCCUAGCAAAUGUUGCUUUAUACAACUGGUGGACAUUAGCUGUGGUAUCCCAGCCUGUGCAAGCAAAUAUCAGGAACCAACCAAACUACAGACCUUGCAAUCAAAAGUACGAAGUGUUUGUGGCCAAUAGAUCAAAGACACCGUACACAAAUAGAACUUGGUGUAAAGAUAAUUAUGCAAUGCUGUGUGAAGGUGAGUUCGGAGUGUUCAACGUAAGCAACAGCAAUCUGUUCCUGAUCGUUACGGAGCAACUAUGGGCAAGUGACUUUGAGAGAGAAAGAUGUAAUUGCUCUGGGAAGAGCGAGCCAUUCUCUCCCAUCAGAGGACUUGAGGUGGAAGCAGCGAUGGAAGACACUUGUUGGAGAGCAAAGAUAAUAAAGGAGAGGAAGAGACCUUUGUCAUGUUUACAAGCUAAAGAAGGGGCACCUGUAAAGGAGCAACCAUGUACAACUGAGGUUAAGCCUCCAACUAAUUCUGGAGCAAAACUCCUUCCGUUUUGGGGUGGCAUUGCAGCAAAGUCAAGUAAAGGCUUAAGGACGUUUUACUCAGCAUGGAUUUCAUGCUUGACUAUACAUAUGGUCGUGAUUGCAGUAUUUUCUGUGAUAUGUGAUGGAUCAUUACUUAGGUCUCCUGUUUUAUGAUGAUGUCAUUAUGGUAGCAUUAUGGAGUAAUGAAUAUGCAACUGUGAUGUCAUACAGUGUGUUGAGGUAUCAACCCAUAAGUUUGAACCCAAGUACACGGUGUUGGGUAUAAAUUUCACCCCUUGUUCAAAGUACGGGAUGUUGGGUGCAAUUUCCAUCUAAUGUUUAACAACAGGNUGUUGGGUGUAAAUUUUACCCGAUGUUUAAAGUACAGGGUGUUGGGUGUAAGUUCCACCCUAUCUUUUUACAACAUUAUUAACCACCAGACAGAUCACGCACUUCAUGUUCCUUUUACCAUGUUUUUUUUUUCAUGUUAAAACUUUAUUGAAUAAUAAACUUAUAAAUUCCGUUGUACACAAUUACACUUUGGGAUUCUGUGUUGACUUGGCGGUAUCAGACAUGCUCAGGGUUUACAAGAAACAUAUUUCUAUGCUUACUGCAGAAGUUUUAUCUGUUGAUGAAAGUUGCUGUAGAUUCUUGAUGCUGCUACCACUGUCAGCAUGUGUGCGGGAUUUUGGGUUUUUUAUCUUGAGGUGUUAUAGCACAGAUCACAGACUUGAGAUAUAUGCCAGAGUUGGCCCAUUACCCCAAUAUUGUAUAGCCUAGGCUAUGUCCAUUCUGCUCAGUUAAUCCAACAACAGGAGUUAAGACAGUUAAAACAGAUUUGUUCAGCCAUUCGCAGGGUGUAGCAACUAAAAGAAACUGGAAAAUCAGUUAGGCAGUGGUCAUAGGCACCAAAUCUGGGGUGGCAGGGUAGAUUGCCCCACCAUAGAGUAUUUUGCACUAUAUGAAACA